RNAcentral lists this ribosomal RNA (227 nucleotides) under uncultured bacterium. Its description in RNAcentral is "partial 16S ribosomal RNA". It matches the Rfam family "Bacterial small subunit ribosomal RNA", at positions 524 to 749 of the family's 1533-position model. The record is from RNAcentral.
UACGUAGGGGCAAGCGUUGUCCGGAUUUAUUGGGCGUAAAGAGCGUGUAGGCGGCCUUACAGGUCAGCUGUGAAAACUCGAGGCUCAACCUCGAGACGUCGGUUGAAACCGUAAGGCUAGAGUCCGGAAGAGGAGAGUGGAAUUCCCGGUGUAGCGGUGAAAUGACGUAGAUAUCGGGAGGAACACCAGUGGCGAAGGCGAAGUCUCUGGGCUGUAUCUGACGCUGA